Molecule: ribosomal RNA, 497 nt
Filed under: uncultured bacterium
Lineage: Bacteria
Description: partial 16S ribosomal RNA
Rfam family: Bacterial small subunit ribosomal RNA
Source: RNAcentral
GAUGAACGCUGGCGGCGUGCCUAAUACAUGCAAGUCGAGCGAACGGACGAGAAGCUUGCUUCUCUGAUGUUAGCGGCGGACGGGUGAGUAACACGUGGAUAACCUACCUAUAAGACUGGGAUAACUUCGGGAAACCGGAGCUAAUACCGGAUAAUAUUUUGAACCGCAUGGUUCAAAAGUGAAAGACGGUCUUGCUGUCACUUAUAGAUGGAUCCGCGCUGCAUUAGCUAGUUGGUAAGGUAACGGCUUACCAAGGCAACGAUGCAUAGCCGACCUGAGAGGGUGAUCGGCCACACUGGAACUGAGACACGGUCCAGACUCCUACGGGAGGCAGCAGUAGGGAAUCUUCCGCAAUGGGCGAAAGCCUGACGGAGCAACGCCGCGUGAGUGAUGAAGGUCUUCGGAUCGUAAAACUCUGUUAUUAGGGAAGAACAUACGUGUAAGUAACUGUGCACAUCUUGACGGUACCUAAUCAGAAAGCGACGGCUAACUACGUG